UUGACGAACCCCAAGGUGUGCUUAUGUGUCGGUCAUCAACACUCGCAGUUUUGGCCGAUUCUGGCCCGUUUCGUGGACUAUUACUCACUGUUUUGGCGUCCCGGGGUGAUUUCCACGAUUGACGAACCCCAAGGUGCGCCUACGUGUCGGGCAUCAACACUCGCAGUUUUGGUCGAUUCUGGCCUGUUUCGUGGACUAUUACUCACUAUUUUGGGGUCUCGGAGUGAUUUCCACGAUCGACGAACCCUUAGGUGCGUUUACGUGUCGGUCAUCUACACUUGCAGUUUUGACCGAUUCUGGCCCGUUUCGUGGACUAUUACUCACUGUUUUGGGGUCCCGGAGUGAUUUCCACGAUUGACGAACCCCAAGGUGCGCUUACGUGUCGGUCAUCAACACUCGCAGUUUUGGCCGAUUCUGGCCCGUUUCGUGGACUAUUACUCACUGUUUUGGCGUCUCGGAGUGAUUUCCAUGAUUGACGAACCCCAAGGUGCGCUUA
Molecule: long non-coding RNA, 496 nt
Filed under: Triticum aestivum (bread wheat)
Lineage: Eukaryota; Viridiplantae; Streptophyta; Magnoliopsida; Poales; Poaceae
Description: long non-coding RNA (TAES_LNC003394)
Source: RNAcentral